Molecule: transfer RNA, 76 nt
Filed under: bacterium
Lineage: Bacteria
Description: tRNA-Lys
Rfam family: tRNA
About the family: Transfer RNA (tRNA) molecules are approximately 80 nucleotides in length. Their secondary structure includes four short double-helical elements and three loops (D, anti-codon, and T loops).
Source: RNAcentral
GCGCCGUUAGCUCAGUUGGUAGAGCAUCUGACUCUUAAUCAGGCGGUCCACAGUUCGAUCCUGUGACGGCGUACCA